GAUGAACGCUGGCGGCGUGCCUAAUACAUGCAAGUCGAGCGAACAGGCGAGGAGCUUGCUCCUCUGACGUUAGCGGCGGACGGGUGAGUAACACGUGGAUAAUCUACCUAUAAGACUGGGAUAACUUCGGGAAACCGGAGCUAAUACCGGAUAAUAUAUUGAACCGCAUGGUUCAAUAGUGAAAGACGGUUUUGCUGUCACUUAUAGAUGGAUCCGCGCCGCAUUAGCUAGUUGGUAAGGUAACGGCUUACCAAGGCAACGAUGCGUAGCCGACCUGAGAGGGUGAUCGGCCACACUGGAACUGAGACACGGUCCAGACUCCUACGGGAGGCAGCAGUAGGGAAUCUUCCGCAAUGGGCGAAAGCCUGACGGAGCAACGCCGCGUGAGUGAUGAAGGUCUUCGGAUCGUAAAACUCUGUUAUUAGGGAAGAACAAAUGUGCAAGUAACUAUGCACGUCUUGACGGUACCUAAUCAGAAAGCCACGGCUAACUACGUG
Molecule: ribosomal RNA, 497 nt
Filed under: uncultured bacterium
Lineage: Bacteria
Description: partial 16S ribosomal RNA
Rfam family: Bacterial small subunit ribosomal RNA
Source: RNAcentral